GUGUCAGCCGCCGCGGUAAUACGUAGGUCCCGAGCGUUGUCCGGAUUUAUUGGGCGUAAAGCGAGCGCAGGCGGUUUUAUAAGUCUGAAGUUAAAGGCUGUGGCUCAACCAUAGUUUGCUUUGGAAACUGUAGAACUUGAGUGCAGAAGGGGAGAGUGGAAUUCCAUGUGUAGCGGUGAAAUGCGUAGAUAUAUGGAGGAACACCGGUGGCGAAAGCGGCUCUCUGGUCUGUAACUGACGCUGAGGCUCGAAAGCGUGGGGAGCAAACAGGAUUAGAUACCCUGGUAGUCCACGCCGUAAACGAUGAGUGCUAGGUGUUAGGCCCUUUCCGGGGCUUAGUGCCGCAGCUAACGCAUUAAGCACUCCGCCUGGGGAGUACGACCGCAAGGUUGAAACUUAAAUAAAUUGGCGG
RNAcentral lists this ribosomal RNA (412 nucleotides) under uncultured bacterium. Its description in RNAcentral is "bacterial SSU rRNA". It matches the Rfam family "Bacterial small subunit ribosomal RNA", at positions 505 to 916 of the family's 1533-position model. The record is from RNAcentral.